GGAGGGAUGGCCGAGCGGUUGAAGGCGACGGUCUUGAAAACCGUUAUGGGCUUACGCCCAUCGGGGGUUCGAAUCCCUCUCCCUCCG
Molecule: transfer RNA, 87 nt
Filed under: Allomeiothermus silvanus DSM 9946
Lineage: Bacteria; Thermotogati; Deinococcota; Deinococci; Thermales; Thermaceae
Description: Meiothermus silvanus DSM 9946 tRNA
Rfam family: tRNA
About the family: Transfer RNA (tRNA) molecules are approximately 80 nucleotides in length. Their secondary structure includes four short double-helical elements and three loops (D, anti-codon, and T loops). Further hydrogen bonds mediate the characteristic L-shaped molecular structure. tRNAs have two regions of fundamental functional importance: the anti-codon, which is responsible for specific mRNA codon recognition, and the 3' end, to which the tRNAs corresponding amino acid is attached (by aminoacyl-tRNA synthetases). tRNAs cope with the degeneracy of the genetic code in two manners: having more than one tRNA (with a specific anti-codon) for a particular amino acid; and 'wobble' base-pairing, i.e. permitting non-standard base-pairing at the 3rd anti-codon position.
Source: Rfam by way of RNAcentral